RNAcentral lists this ribosomal RNA (253 nucleotides) under uncultured bacterium. RNAcentral describes it as "partial 16S ribosomal RNA". It matches the Rfam family "Bacterial small subunit ribosomal RNA", at positions 524 to 776 of the family's 1533-position model. The record is from RNAcentral.
UACGAAGGGGGCUAGCGUUGCUCGGAAUCACUGGGCGUAAAGGGUGCGUAGGCGGGGGUUUAAGUCAGGGGUGAAAUCCUGGAGCUCAACUCCAGAACUGCCUUUGAUACUGAGGAUCUUGAGUCCGGGAGAGGUGAGUGGAACUGCGAGUGUAGAGGUGAAAUUCGUAGAUAUUCGCAAGAACACCAGUGGCGAAGGCGGCUCACUGGCCCGGUACUGACGCUGAGGUGCGAAAGCGUGGGGAGCAAACAGG